Long non-coding RNA from Drosophila innubila, 258 nucleotides. RefSeq lists it as uncharacterized. NCBI's taxonomy places the organism in Eukaryota, Metazoa, Arthropoda, Insecta, Diptera, Drosophilidae. The transcript is spliced from 2 exons. The record is from RefSeq and is a predicted model, not a curated record.
CUUAUGGAUGUGUAUAAGAAUCUAUAUCCACACAGGGCAACUAAUGAGCUCUUAAAGUGUGCAUGCGUGUGUGUUGAUUAGGCAUGGCUUAACACACAACAACAAGAACAACAACAACAGCAACAAAAACAACGGAAAUAAAGGUAGCGUCGGCGUGGCUCAAUCAUGCAGUAGCCUUUGUAGCUUUCAGUUUUUAAUGCGUCAACCACCGCAACUAUGCAGAUCGCACGCCUAAUAGGCAAAGUUCACAUCACAAAA